GUUACACUAAACACUGUUAUGAUAAAUGGCCUCAGGUUGUGUUUCUGCAGAUUUCUAUCAAUAACAAAUAGAUGAAGACUGAAAUUAGCCAAAUCUCGCAUCAGAUUUUUCUCACCGUGUUUCUGGACAGUGAACGCUCCACUUUGCAGAAACGCUGUGAAGAAGUGAUUGUUGUGUUGCUGCUGGCUGAAACUCCUCUGUGCUGGCUUGAGAAACCCUGCAGAGCUGCCAGGACGGGAGGAGCUGCCAGCCUGAGAGAGGCUGCUCCGGCCUGAGAGGAGAUUAGCAGGCAGGCGAGAAAGGGAACAGGUGAGCGCCACAUAAUGCGGAGAGAACAUAGAACAUGAUACGCAGAGGGCGGAAAGAGUACCGGCAGCUUGUGAAAAGUGCGCAAGAAAAGGUCAAAGCUUUAAAUGUAGAGCUGUGUACCAGAGAGUAGCGGCUGACUUCAGCA
This is a long non-coding RNA of Micropterus dolomieu (smallmouth bass), 454 nucleotides long. RefSeq lists it as uncharacterized. The record is from RefSeq and is a predicted model, not a curated record. NCBI's taxonomy places the organism in Eukaryota, Metazoa, Chordata, Actinopteri, Centrarchiformes, Centrarchidae. The transcript is spliced from 3 exons.